This 301-nucleotide ribosomal RNA is filed under the name uncultured bacterium. Its description in RNAcentral is "partial 16S ribosomal RNA". It matches the Rfam family "Bacterial small subunit ribosomal RNA", at positions 509 to 809 of the family's 1533-position model. The record is from RNAcentral.
CAGUAGCCGCGGGAAUACGUAGGUGGCAAGCGUUGUCCGGAAUUAUUGGGCGUAAGGCGCGCGCAGGCGGAUCAGUUAGUCUGUCUUAAAAGUUCGGGGCUUAACCCCGUGAGGGGAUGGAAACUGCUGAUCUAGAGUAUCGGAGAGGAAAGUGGAAUUCCUAGUGUAGCGGUGAAAUGCGUAGAUAUUAGGAAGAACACCAGUGGCGAAGGCGACUUUCUGGACGAAAACUGACGCUGAGGCGCGAAAGCCAGGGGAGCGAACGGGAUUAGAUACCCCCGUAGUCCCUGUCUCUUAUACA